Molecule: long non-coding RNA, 240 nt
Organism: Nothoprocta perdicaria
Lineage: Eukaryota; Metazoa; Chordata; Aves; Tinamiformes; Tinamidae
Exons: 2
Source: RefSeq, a predicted model, not a curated record
GCUUUUCCAGACUUGAUGUUCCUUGUUGGAUAUAAGGUUGCAUGUUUGCAAUAAUUUCUUACAUUCUUCAGAUGACUCUAAGAGAAUGGUGUCAGAUACAUCUUCUUGCAUCUGGUGAGUGGACUCAGAGGAAGACAGAGAUGAAGAUGACUGGACUUUUGAACAAGAGUUUGAAAUUUGACAACACUAAUAAAAUUCAUCUGGAUGCAAAGUAAGAAAAGUGCAAAAGAGAACAGGGCA